UUAACUAUUUGUCUUUUUUUCAGAAGGCAUAGGUAGCUGAGUUUUGGUCUUUCGGCAGGCAUUAUAGUGGAAACCCCCCUGGGCCCCGCCUGCCGAAGCAACGGUAUAGAAUGUUCACAAGGGUUUGGAGUUUUGCAACUCUGUAAUGAUCCCUCCGCUGGUUCACCAACGGAGA
RNAcentral lists this unclassified non-coding RNA (175 nucleotides) under uncultured fungus. Its description in RNAcentral is "sequence contains ITS1". The record is from RNAcentral. Lineage: Eukaryota; Fungi.